AGAUUUUUACAACUGCUGCGGUUGAUGAUAGGAAGAACAUUAUAUUGUUAGCUUUUGAGACAAACGGACUAUUAGCUCUCUAAUCUCGGUUUGGUUGAUAUUCUUAAUUUUGUUUGGUUGAUUUUUGUAGCUACUUUGGUAAAGGAGGAAGCUUGAUGAUUGAAGAAGAAGAAGUUCGAGAGUCUCGUUGUUUUUAUUUUUUGUUUUUUUCGACAUGGGCUCAUAGGCCGAUUGAGUAUAUAUGUGAAGAGAAGUUUCUGUAGUAGGAUUGUUUUGUAUCAUGAUUAUUUUUUAAAAUUACAUAUAUAUAUAUAUAUAAUUAACAUAGUUAUUUGUUUCCUAAAAAAAUAAUGA
Molecule: long non-coding RNA, 354 nt
Filed under: Arabidopsis lyrata
Lineage: Eukaryota; Viridiplantae; Streptophyta; Magnoliopsida; Brassicales; Brassicaceae
Description: long non-coding RNA (ALYR_LNC000198)
Source: RNAcentral